UGAAAUCCCCGGGUUCAACCUGGGAAUUGCGUUGUGACUGCAAGGCUUGGAGUGCGGCAGAGGGGGAUGAAUUCCGCGUGUAGCCGUGAAAUGGCGUAGAUAUGCGGAGGAACACCGAUGGCGAAGGCAAUCCCUGGGCCUGCACUGACGCUCAUGCACGAAAGCGUGGGGAAGCAAACAGGAUUAGAUACCCUGGUAGUCCAGCCCUAAACGAUGUCAACUUGGUGUUGGGAAUUUACUUUCUCAGCUAACGAACUUAACGCGUGAAGUUGACCGCCUGGGGAGUACGGCCGCAAGGUUGAAACUCAAAGGAAUUGGGGGGGGAGCCAAAAUG
RNAcentral lists this ribosomal RNA (334 nucleotides) under uncultured Hydrogenophaga sp. RNAcentral describes it as "bacterial SSU rRNA". It matches the Rfam family "Bacterial small subunit ribosomal RNA", at positions 595 to 929 of the family's 1533-position model. The record is from RNAcentral. Lineage: Bacteria; Pseudomonadati; Pseudomonadota; Betaproteobacteria; Burkholderiales; Comamonadaceae.